UUCACAAAACAUUUUUCUUCAUGGACCCCUCUCAUUUUGUUUGGAAUUUAAUGCUGAUGAAUGGAUUUGGAUAUAUGGGCAUGUAAAUGUCUCCAAAAUAUUGCUUAUUUGAUCACCUCUCAUCCUGCUUCUUCACAAACUAUGCAGGGCUUGCCGACAGGUUUAUGUUAUUUUUUUCCCUUUUGCAGCACCUUUAUCUGAAACUGAUGCUGCCCCAAUGGAACAUUAGAGUCCCGAAGAAAUUCUUCAUGGUUACCGGAAGCUCAGCUGGUAGAUGGAAUGUUGAGAAUUCUUUGCAGUCCUUGCGUUUGGGACCAACACGUAUCUGCAUGGCACAUCCACCAAGCUUCAACAUGUGGAUGCAUGUGUG
RNAcentral lists this long non-coding RNA (370 nucleotides) under Phoenix dactylifera (date palm). RNAcentral's name for it is "long non-coding RNA (PDAC_LNC012224)". Lineage: Eukaryota; Viridiplantae; Streptophyta; Magnoliopsida; Arecales; Arecaceae. The record is from RNAcentral.